GAUUUGCAGAGGGCAGGAUUUUGGCGGGCUCCGGGGGAGGAUUAAGGGCCUGCAGGAAAGCCCACCUUUCAUGACUACACGCCGUUCAGAUUCUGAACGGUGAAUACGAUCACCUGAUUGGUCAAUACCAAGUCAGUGGAAAACCGUAGUAUUUGUUGAUUUCAAUAUUGUUGCUAUCUAAUCCUCGAUCUAAUCUUGAACAUCGAUCGUGGCUAUUUUUUCUUAUUCAGCAGCGAUACAAAAGGUGAUCUCACUGGCCAGUCGUCAGGAAAUAGCACAGGAUAAUUGCAAACAAUUAACGUGCAUGGAUGUAAAAUUGUAAAUACUGAUUCUGAUGAUGUACUAUAUAAAAGUAUUAAGCUCAACAUCGACGGUUUGAAAACGUGUGAAGGGCGUUCGUCACUGUGGUCCAGCCACUUUUCGUUUGUAGGGUUUCGCGUCACAAUAUUCCCAUUCGGAU
Non-coding RNA from Paramuricea clavata, 460 nucleotides. The record is from the annotation of a GenBank genome assembly. Lineage: Eukaryota; Metazoa; Cnidaria; Anthozoa; Malacalcyonacea; Plexauridae.